AAGUCGAGCGAUGAAACUUUAACAGAACCCUUCGGGGCGAAGAUAAAGUGGAUUAGCGGCGGACGGGUGAGUAACACGUGAGUAACUUGCCUUAGACAUUGGGAUAGCCUCGGGAAACCGGGAUUAAUACCAAAUAAAAUCAUAAUGACACAUGUCAUAACGAUCAAAACUCCGGUGGUCUAAGAUGACUCGCGUCCCAUUAGCUAGUUGGUAGAGUAAAAGCCUACCAAGGCGACGAUGGGUAGCCGGCCUGAGAGGGUGAACGGCCACAUUGGAACUGAGAAACGGUCCAAACUCCUACGGGAGGCAGCAGUGGGGAAUAUUGCACAAUGGAGGGAACUCUGAUGCAGCGACGCCGCGUGAACGAAGAAGGCUUUCGAGUCGUAAAGUUCUUUUAUAUGGGAAGAUAAUGACGGUACCAUAAGAAAAAGCCCCGGCUAACUACGUGCCAGCAGCCGCGGUAAUACGUAGGGGGCUAGCGUUGUCCGGAAUCACUGGGCGUAAAGGGUUCGCAGGCGGAAAUGCAAGUCAGAUGUAAAAGGCAGUAGCUUAACUACUGUAAGCAUUUGAAACUGCAUAUCUUGAGAAGAGUAGAGGUAAGUGGAAUUUUUAGUGUAGCGGUGAAAUGCGUAGAUAUUAAAAAGAAUACCGGUGGCGAAGGCGACUUACUGGGCUCAUUCUGACGCUGAGGAACGAAAG
This 699-nucleotide ribosomal RNA is filed under the name uncultured Eubacteriales bacterium. Its description in RNAcentral is "bacterial SSU rRNA". It matches the Rfam family "Bacterial small subunit ribosomal RNA", at positions 59 to 759 of the family's 1533-position model. Lineage: Bacteria; Bacillati; Bacillota; Clostridia; Eubacteriales. The record is from RNAcentral.